CCCUUAUAUAUCUCUGUCCAAUUUCCUUGUCCAAACACUCAAACGUAUCCACUGUGCACUUAUCUAAUCCUUUGGAUUAGAUCCGGGAAGGCUAGUCAAGGCGUUGAGGCCUUGUCGCCGCACGGAUCCACUUCUCCCUUAACCCGACAAAAGGAUUAGUGAGAAAGGACUGUGACACCUACCAUAGUGGUGACAAGUGACGGAGAAUUAGGGUCCAAUUCUGGAGAGGGAGCCUGAGAAAAGGCUACCACAUAUAAGCAAGACAGCAGGCGCGCAAAUUACCCAAUCCUGAGACGGGGAGGUAGUGACAAUUAAUAACAAUACCGGGCUCAAUGAGUCUUGUAGUUGGAAUGAGUACAAUCUAAAUCCCUUAACGAGGAUCCAUUGGAGGGAAAGUUUGGUGCCAGCAGCUGCGGUAAUCCCCGCUCCAAUAGCGUAUAUUUAAGUUGUUGCAGUUAAAAAGCUCGUAGUUGGACACUGGGUUGGGACGUCCGGUCCUCCUUUCGGUGUGCACCGGCCGUCUCGGCCCUUCUGCCGGCGAUGCGCUCCCGGCCUUAACUGGCCGGGUCGUGCCUCCGGCGUUGUUACUUUGAAGAAAUUAGAGUGCUCAAAGCAAGCCUACGCUCUGUAUUUAUUAGCAUGGGAUAACAUCAUAGGAUUUCGAUCCUAUUGUGUUGGCCUUCGGGAUCAGAGUAAUGAUUAACAGGGACAGUCGGGGGCAUUCGUAUUUCAUAGUCAGAUGUGAAAUUCUUGGAUUUAUGAGAGACGAACAACUGCGAAAGCAUUUGCCAAGGAUGUUUUCAUUAGUCCAGAACAAAAGUUAGGGGCUUAAAGACAAUCAGAUACCAUCCUAGUCUCAACCGUAAACGAUGCCAACCAGGGAUCAGUCAUGUUGCUUUAAGGACUCCACUGGCACCUUAUGAGAAAUCAAAGUAUUUGGGUUCCGGGGGUAGUAUGGUCGCAAGGCUAAAACUUAAAGGAAUUGACGGAAGGGCACCACCAGGAGUAGAGCAUGCGGCUUAAUUUGACUCAACACGGGGAAACUUACCAGGUUCAGACAUAGUAAGGAAUGACAGACUGAGAGCUCUUUCUUGAUUCUAUGGGUGGCGGUGCAUGCCUGUUCUUAGUUAGUGGAGCGAUUUGUCUUGUUAAUUUCGUUAACGAACGAGACCUCAGCCUGCUAACUAGCUAUGUGGAGGUGCCCCUCCACGACCAGCUUAUUAGAGGGACUAUGGCGAUUUAAGGCCACGAAAGUUUGACGCAAUAACAGGUCUGUGAUGCCCUAAGAUGUUCUGGGCCGCACGUGCGCUACAGUGAUGUAUUCAACGAGUCCAUAGCCUUGGCCGACAGGCCCGGGUAAUCUUUAAAAUUUCACCGUGAUGGGGGUAGAUCAUUGCAAUUAUUGAUCUUAAACAAGGAAUUCCUAGUAAGCGCGAGUCAUCAGCUCGCGUUGACUAUGUCUCUGCCCUUUGUACACACCGCCCGUCGCUCCUACCGAUUGAAUAGUCCGGUAAAGUGUUCAGAUCGCGGUGACGCGGGCGGUUUGCCACCGGAGAAGUCGUAACAUGGUUUCCGUAGCUGAACCUACGGAACGAUC
RNAcentral lists this ribosomal RNA (1597 nucleotides) under Kalanchoe fedtschenkoi (South American air plant). RNAcentral's name for it is "SSU rRNA". It matches the Rfam family "Eukaryotic small subunit ribosomal RNA", at positions 185 to 1827 of the family's 1831-position model. Lineage: Eukaryota; Viridiplantae; Streptophyta; Magnoliopsida; Saxifragales; Crassulaceae. The record is from RNAcentral.